GACGGACGCUGGCGGCGUGCCUAAUACAUGCAAGUUGAGCGCUGAAGGUUGGUACUUGUACCAACUGGAUGAGCAGCGAACGGGUGAGUAACGCGUGGGGAAUCUGCCUUUGAGCGGGGGACAACAUUUGGAAACGAAUGCUAAUACCGCAUAAAAACUUUAAACACAAGUUUUAAGUUUGAAAGAUGCAAUUGCAUCACUCAAAGAUGAUCCCGCGUUGUAUUAGCUAGUUGGUGAGGUAAAGGCUCACCAAGGCGAUGAUACAUAGCCGACCUGAGAGGGUGAUCGGCCACAUUGGGACUGAGACACGGCCCAAACUCCUACGGGAGGCAGCAGUAGGGAAUCUUCGGCAAUGGACGAAAGUCUGACCGAGCAACGCCGCGUGAGUGAAGAAGGUUUUCGGAUCGUAAAACUCUGUUGGUAGAGAAGAGCGUUGGUGAGAGUGGAAAGCUCAUCAAGUGACGGUAACUACCCAGAAAGGGACGGCUAACUACGUG
RNAcentral lists this ribosomal RNA (497 nucleotides) under uncultured bacterium. RNAcentral's name for it is "partial 16S ribosomal RNA". It matches the Rfam family "Bacterial small subunit ribosomal RNA", at positions 28 to 507 of the family's 1533-position model. The record is from RNAcentral.